This 494-nucleotide ribosomal RNA is filed under the name uncultured bacterium. RNAcentral describes it as "partial 16S ribosomal RNA". It matches the Rfam family "Bacterial small subunit ribosomal RNA", at positions 28 to 507 of the family's 1533-position model. The record is from RNAcentral.
GACGAACGCUGGCGGCGUGCUUAACACAUGCAAGUCGAACGGAAAGGCCUGCUUUCCCUUGUGGAUUGCGGGUACUCGAGUGGCGAACGGGUGAGUAACACGUGAGUGAUCUGCCCCCAACUUGGGUAUAAGCCUGGGAAACUGGGUCUAAUUCCCGAUAGGACUGCAGGGUGGUGCCUGUGGUGGAAAACGAUUUUCUAGUGGUUGGGGAUGAGCUCGCGGCCUAUCAGCUUGUUGGUGGGGUAAUGGCCUACCAAGGCGGCGACGGGUAGCCGGCCUGAGAGGGUGGACGGCCGCAUUGGGACUGAGAUACGGCCCAGACGCCUACGGGAGGCAGCAGUGGGGAAUAUUGCACAAUGGGCGGAAGCCUGAUGCAGCGACGCCGCGUGGGGGAUGACGGCCUUCGGGUGGUAAACUCCUUUCGACCGCGAGGAAGCCACCUGGUUGGAAGGGUGGUGACGGUAGUGGUAGAAGAAGCACCGGCUAACUACGUG